Molecule: long non-coding RNA, 1970 nt
Organism: Amphibalanus amphitrite
Lineage: Eukaryota; Metazoa; Arthropoda; Thecostraca; Balanomorpha; Balanidae
Exons: 2
Source: RefSeq, a predicted model, not a curated record
CGAUUGUCUAAUGUUAACCCUAAUACUAAGCAUUCAGCUUAUCAAUCAAACCAGUGCAGGUCAAUUCAGAUAUGUUAGUUUACAAUUAUGGUAUAGUUAACAGUUAUGGUAGUUAUUUUUUUUUUUUUGAAUUUUGCAUCCCCGCUAGCACAAGGCUAUAGCAGGGGAAGGGAAGUUACUUGCUGGCAAUUACCCAGAUCUUUUGCUUUACGUUAAGUUAAUUGCCGGCUAUUUUAUUCCGGCCCAAGAGGCAAAGCAAAGACAAGCUUUACAUUAGACCGGCUCAUGUGGCGUGGUAGUUAACAUCGUUGAGUAACAUUUUCAAUUUUCAUUCACAGGAACGACGAGGGAGACACAGGCGCCGCCGCCGCUCUGCAGAGUGCCUCCGUCAGCACGUCGGAGAGGUAAAUCACGGUCACCAUUGCUAUGUUACUUUCCUUCUAUCUGGUUCAAGGUACUCAAGCUUCGGGCAAAAGGCUUCCACCUCGUUUUCACGGGAUAUCGUGGGACAGCUGCGAAGACGACCCUGCGAACCAUGCUGUUCGGAGACGAGUCUCUGGAAAGUCAGCUCCUUGCUAAUGCUGGCGAUGGGAGGAAGAGUGCGGACAACGCUCGUUGGCUGCCUUGACGCCGAGUCUGUCAAAAGCUGACCCGAGUGUUGUACUUGGUGCGGUACGGGGUAUGCCGAGCUGUGUUGUUUCGCAAUAAAUGUGCAAAAUGACUCUGGAAUUUACGGCCAAACGCGGCAGAGACCACAGCAAAGUCUACAAACACAUGUAAGCCAGAACAUUAUCAAUAUUAUGUGCACCCAAACAGUGCACUGACAGAAGAAAGAAACAAGUUGACCCAGUCCGCUAUUCAAGAAAAAAAAGCGUACAUCCUGGCGCCGAUUGAUGAGAAGGAACUGAGAGCAGUCCUGAGAAUGACUGUUCUCCACGGAACACAGUCCCAAACGGUGGACAUGUCACCACCGAACGCGACCCUCAGCUGUUCGGAGCCGCCAUGGGAAAGCAGAAAUACCUGGCCAUCCUCUCCCAUCUGGCGUUUGAUGAAGCGGAGACAUGAGACGAUCAUCGGCAAUUUGACAAGUGUUGCCCACAGCAAUAGGAACAGAAAGAGUCGAACAAGUGUGAGGUGAAUGAGAUUAUGUUGACGAUUAAGUGAGGUGUAGUUGCCCUCUAGCUAUAGCAGCAGUCUAGCGCCGGCAAUCACGCUAUAGCAGCGGUUUAGCGUUCGAUCGUCGCGACAUCUAUAUUAGUUAAGCGCCGAUAGUCACGCUAUAGCAGCAGUUUGGCGUUCGAUCGUCGCGACAUCUAUAUUGACCGAGUGUGAUUACGCGUGGGUAUUUACAAGUACUCGAAUGUGGCAGGUACUUUAAAUACUCGAAUACCAUUCUGAUGAAUAUUUCCACGGUUUUCUUUGAAUGCUAUGAACAAUAUUUUGUACAACGUUUUCCGAAACAAAUAAUUCUGCGUUUUGUGUUUCACGUUUUCGAAUCUAAGAACCUAAAACAUUGUGACGUGUCAGCAUUUUCGGUAUGAUAGUGGUGGGCACUGUCGUGUUCCUGCCACGCCCGUUUUGUGCGGCCGACAUUCUUGUUCAGGAUUGUUUCUGAGGAUGGUUUGAUUUCCCUGGCGCUAAUGAGAAUAAUAUGAAGAGACUGUUUCGACCGUGUGUCAGAGGGAAUCAGCCCCCAGUUAGUCCGGCAUGAGGUGCACACAGUCAGUAAGUUUAACCGAUUGAACUGGUCGUUUCAGUCUUAUGAUAGUAUGUGCCUAGUAUGUGCUACUUGCAGUCGAAAUGUGUCAAGGACGAACGAGUAUGGGUCAUGUCAAGGUCUAAUCGUCAGAUCGAGUGUGGCUCAGUUGUUGUGUUAGGGAAGAGCUCACUGCUGCUAUAUGUGACGAUUGUUCUGACGUGUUGCAGAAACGGAUCUAUAGACAAGAUGAAUACAAGGUCCUGUGUUUGAC